AAGCUGAGAGAGAGGUGGGGAGUCUCUUCUGAGGCCAGAGGCAGAUAGGAUUAACUAGGAAAGCAAGAUUUGGGGGGUGAGGGGGGAAGGAGAAGGCAGGAAAGGAGGAGUCUAGCAGUUAGGUUCCCGACUGCCCUUGUCCCCUUCCAAACAUUCCAGCCAGAGCGCGAUGGAGACAUCUCUUCCAAAUCCUCUGGGGGGCCCCAAACGGGGGAUCCUCUCUAAUCUGGCAGAGUUCCCAGUUGGAUUGUGAAGGUCUGCGUUGGCUCUGAGGAGCAGUGCUGGUCAGCCCCUCUCCAGUCAGUCUGAGGGUUCAAGAACAUCUUGGAAAGGAAAGGUCACAGAGGAAGCUCCACCUUCAUUUCUUGAUUCUGGGGCAGAAUCCAGAACUAUGCAGGAAGCGACUGUCCAGGAAACAAAAUGCAGAAGGCCUCAGCGGAGACCUGACCAUCCGUCUGUCUCAGCCACUGAUUUGCUGAUCAAGAGCAAAUGAAGAUAACUACAUUUUAAGCAAAGGGCCUUGUUUUCCAAGAAAGGAGAGUCUAGGAACCUGAGGACAAACUCUCAGAGAAGUUCGAAUCUGGGCUGUGGAGCUACGUCCGUGAUACCCUGUGAAUAAUGGCCCACUGGGACAGUAGGUGUCCCCUCUGCUUCUACUAGGCCACAUCUCCCAGAAUCACAAAGCCUUUAGUUGGAUUUUAGGACUUGGAAAGGACCUCCUAGAGAUCACUUAAGCCAACCCUACCCUUACUUUUUGUUUUUUUACAGAUGAGGAAAAUGAGGCCCAGCAGGGUUAAGUGAUUUGCCCAAGGUCAUGUAAGUAAGUAGGGACAGAACCAGGCUUUGAAUUUGGUGACUCUUUCUACUACCCCAGCUCCCAUCCCCUGUUGUGGGGUGGGUGGGCAGGACAG
This is a non-coding RNA of Phascolarctos cinereus (koala), 911 nucleotides long. The record is from RefSeq and is a predicted model, not a curated record. Lineage: Eukaryota; Metazoa; Chordata; Mammalia; Diprotodontia; Phascolarctidae.